AAGUAAAGGUUAGAGAAGGAAUUCCUCUUGCCAGGAAAGUACCCAGCUGAUAGUCCAGGAGGACCCAGAGACCCACCACAUGUCAACCACGGGUGGGGAGCAGCUCAUUAAGGAUGCUAAGGCCACCCGGAAAGGGGUUGCCAGGGAACCAGCUCUCCACACCAGCUCAAACACCCUCCGCGAAGAGAGCUGCAGCCUUGGGUUAUUACAUCCAGCACCACCAAGAGAGGCCACCUCAGCCAGCUGCCUCUUGCACUGAACCCACGAAAGGGAGGAGGGUCUCGCCAUCAAGUUCUUUCAACAAGAUACCAAGAACCUGGAAACAUCUGGCCUCAACUGUACCGCCACCAUGUGGACAUAAAUCUAACCUCAAGCGAGCUUCUUCAGGAUUUCGCCCAACCAUGACCACGUGGGGACUGACCAGCACACAAAGAAAACCACCAGGACUGCGUCUGCGCGGUGUGUCUUCAUGGUGCUAUCUCCUGCCAGUGUUGCCAGUGUUUCCAGCGUCAGCAGAGACCCAGAGGAUGCCCCUCCCCAGUCCCCUUCCCCUUCCUGU
This is a long non-coding RNA of Mus caroli (Ryukyu mouse), 559 nucleotides long. RefSeq lists it as uncharacterized. NCBI's taxonomy places the organism in Eukaryota, Metazoa, Chordata, Mammalia, Rodentia, Muridae. The record is from RefSeq and is a predicted model, not a curated record.